AGCAGCCGCGGUAAUUCCAGCUCCAAUAGCGUAUAUUAAAGUUGUUGCAGUUAAAAAGCUCGUAGUUGAAUUUCGGGACCAAUUUGUUGGUCGUGCCUCGGUACGUACUGGUAUUAUUGGUUUCUCCCUUCUGAAGAACCUCGAUGCCAUUAAUUUGGUGUCGUGGGGAAUCAGGACUGUUACUUUGAAAAAUUAGAGUGUUUAAAGCAAGCAUACGCUUGAAUACAUUAGCAUGGAAUAAUGAAAUAGGACGUUUGAUUCUAUUUUGUUGGUUUCUAGGAUCGACGUAAUGAUUAAUAGGGAUAGUUGGGGGCAUUAGUAUUCAAUUGUCAGAGGUGAAAUUCUUGGAUUUAUUGAAGACUAACUACUGCGAAAGCAUUUGCCAAGGAUGUUUUCAUUAAUCAAGAACGAAAGUUAGGGGAUCGAAGACGAUCAGAUACCGUCGUAGUCUUAACCAUAAACUAUGCCGACUAGGGAUCGGAUGAUGUUAAUUUUUAAUGACUCAUUCGGCGCCUUACGG
RNAcentral lists this ribosomal RNA (520 nucleotides) under uncultured Glomus. RNAcentral's name for it is "SSU rRNA". It matches the Rfam family "Eukaryotic small subunit ribosomal RNA", at positions 569 to 1093 of the family's 1831-position model. The record is from RNAcentral. Lineage: Eukaryota; Fungi; Glomeromycota; Glomeromycetes; Glomerales; Glomeraceae.